RNAcentral lists this ribosomal RNA (376 nucleotides) under uncultured bacterium. Its description in RNAcentral is "bacterial SSU rRNA". It matches the Rfam family "Bacterial small subunit ribosomal RNA", at positions 521 to 896 of the family's 1533-position model. The record is from RNAcentral.
UAAUACGAAGGGGGCUAGCGUUGUUCGGAUUUACUGGGCGUAAAGCGCGCGCAGGCGGCUUUGCAAGUUGAGGGUGAAAUCCCAGAGCUCAACUCUGGAAUUGCCUUCAAGACUGUGAGGCUUCGAGUACGGGAGAGGUGAGUGGAAUUCCCAGUGUAGAGGUGAAAUUCGUAGAUAUUGGGAAGAACACCGGUGGCGAAGGCGGCUCACUGGCCCGUUACUGACGCUCAGGCGCGACAGCGUGGGGAUCAAACAGGAUUAGAUACCCUGGUAGUCCACGCCGUAAACGAUGGACGCUAGCCGUUGGCAAGCUUGCUUGUCAGUGGCGCAGCUAACGCAUUAAGCGUCCCGCCUGGGGAGUACGGCCGCAAGGUUG